This 214-nucleotide long non-coding RNA is filed under the name Elaeis guineensis (African oil palm). RNAcentral describes it as "long non-coding RNA (EGUI_LNC000604)". Lineage: Eukaryota; Viridiplantae; Streptophyta; Magnoliopsida; Arecales; Arecaceae. The record is from RNAcentral.
CUACAGUGAAUCCAAUUAAUUAAAAAAUCUUAUUUUUGAUAAAAUUUAGACUGAAAUUUUAACUCUAAUUAGGAAUAAGUUUUUUGAUGGGACAAAACAAGUACAUAUAUAAAUAGAGAUGAUUUGAUCUAUUUUCUCCAACUCUCAGGAGGGUGUGACGAUUUUCAUUGAUCGUCCAUAUUAAAGAGGAAGAUGAGGAGAGAAAAGAUUAGCC